AACGCUGGCGGCGUGCCUAACACAUGCAAGUCGAACGCGAAAGGGGCUUCGGCCCUGAGUAGAGUGGCGAACGGGUGAGUAACACGUGGGUGAUCUACCUCUGAGUGGGGGAUAACGUUCCGAAAGGAGCGCUAAUACCGCAUGAAGUCCUGGGUUUGAAGACCUGGAAACCAAAGUCGGGGACCGCAAGGCCUGACGCUUGGAGAGGAGCCCGCGCCUGAUUAGCUAGUUGGCGGGGUAACGGCCCACCAAGGCGACGAUCAGUAGCCGGCCUGAGAGGGCGGACGGCCACACUGGGACUGAGACACGGCCCAGACUCCUACGGGAGGCAGCAGUGGGGAAUUGUUCGCAAUGGGCGCAAGCCUGACGACGCAACGCCGCGUGGAGGAUGAAGGUCUUCGGAUUGUAAACUCCUGUUGAUCGGGACGAAAAGCUUCGACCUAACACGUCGAAGACUGACGGUACCGGUUGAGGAAGCC
RNAcentral lists this ribosomal RNA (479 nucleotides) under Acidobacteria bacterium KF4-29/2. RNAcentral's name for it is "bacterial SSU rRNA". It matches the Rfam family "Bacterial small subunit ribosomal RNA", at positions 32 to 492 of the family's 1533-position model. The record is from RNAcentral. Lineage: Bacteria; Pseudomonadati; Acidobacteriota.